RNAcentral lists this ribosomal RNA (616 nucleotides) under Limbodessus padburyensis. RNAcentral's name for it is "partial 16S ribosomal RNA". The stretch from base 375 to 533 matches the Rfam family "Bacterial large subunit ribosomal RNA", at positions 2473 to 2632 of the family's 2925-position model. The record is from RNAcentral. Lineage: Eukaryota; Metazoa; Arthropoda; Insecta; Coleoptera; Dytiscidae.
GGAUAGAAUUUAAGGUUUAACCUGCCCACUGAUUAUUUUAAUGGCCGCAGUAUUUUGACUGUGCAAAGGUAGCAUAAUCAUUAGUUUUUUAAUUGAGAGCUUGUAUGAAUGGUUGGACGAGAUAUAAUCUGUCUUUAGUUUAUAAAUAGAAUUUAAUUUUUAAGUUAAAAAGCUUAAAUGAAUUUAAAAGACGAGAAGACCCCAUAGAUCUUUAUAUGUAUAUAAAUUUAAUUUUUAAGGAUUAUAAAUUUUUAUAUUUUUAUAUUUAUUUAAUUGGGGUAAUUAAAAGAUUUAUAGAAUUCUUUUUAUUUUGAACAUUAAUAAAUGAUUUAAAUGAUCCAUUAUUAUUGAUUAUAAGAUUAAGUUACCUUGGGGAUAACAGCGUAAUUUUUUUUGAGAGUUCUUAUUGAUAAAAAAGUUUGCGACCUCGAUGUUGGAUUAAAGUUAAUUUUGGGUGUAGAAGUUCAAAGUUUUAGUCUGUUCGACUAUUAAAAUUUUACAUGAUCUGAGUUCAAACCGGUGUAAGCCAGGUUGGUUUCUAUCUUUAAUUAAUUAAUAUAUUUUAGUACGAAAGGACCAAGUAUUUGAUAUGAAGUAUUUAAGUAUUUGAAUAAAA